GACGAACGCUGGCGGCGUGCCUAAUACAUGCAAGUCGAACGCUUCUUUUUCCACCGGAGCUUGCUCCACCGGAAAAAGAGGAGUGGCGAACGGGUGAGUAACACGUGGGUAACCUGCCCAUCAGAAGGGGAUAACACUUGGAAACAGGUGCUAAUACCGUAUAACAAUCGAAACCGCAUGGUUUUGAUUUGAAAGGCGCUUUCGGGUGUCGCUGAUGGAUGGACCCGCGGUGCAUUAGCUAGUUGGUGAGGUAACGGCUCACCAAGGCCACGAUGCAUAGCCGACCUGAGAGGGUGAUCGGCCACAUUGGGACUGAGACACGGCCCAAACUCCUACGGGAGGCAGCAGUAGGGAAUCUUCGGCAAUGGACGAAAGUCUGACCGAGCAACGCCGCGUGAGUGAAGAAGGUUUUCGGAUCGUAAAACUCUGUUGUUAGAGAAGAACAAGGAUGAGAGUAACUGUUCAUCCCUUGACGGUAUCUAACCAGAAAGCCACGGCUAACUACGUGCCAGCAGCCGCGGUAAUACGUAGGUGGCAAGCGUUGUCCGGAUUUAUUGGGCGUAAAGCGAGCGCAGGCGGUUUCUUAAGUCUGAUGUGAAAGCCCCCGGCUCAACCGGGGAGGGUCAUUGGAAACUGGGAGACUUGAGUGCAGAAGAGGAGAGUGGAAUUCCAUGUGUAGCGGUGAAAUGCGUAGAUAUAUGGAGGAACACCAGUGGCGAAGGCGGCUCUCUGGUCUGUAACUGACGCUGAGGCUCGAAAGCGUGGGGAGCAAACAGGAUUAGAUACCCUGGUAGUCCACGCCGUAAACGAUGAGUGCUAAGUGUUGGAGGGUUUCCGCCCUUCAGUGCUGCAGCUAACGCAUUAAGCACUCCGCCUGGGGAGUACGACCGCAAGGUUGAAACUCAAAGGAAUUGACGGGGGCCCGCACAAGCGGUGGAACAUGUGGUUUAAUUCGAAGCAACGCGAAGAACCUUACCAGGUCUUGACAUCCUUUGACCACUCUAGAGAUAGAGCUUCCCCUUCGGGGGCAAA
RNAcentral lists this ribosomal RNA (1032 nucleotides) under Enterococcus faecium. Its description in RNAcentral is "bacterial SSU rRNA". It matches the Rfam family "Bacterial small subunit ribosomal RNA", at positions 28 to 1030 of the family's 1533-position model. The record is from RNAcentral. Lineage: Bacteria; Bacillati; Bacillota; Bacilli; Lactobacillales; Enterococcaceae.